UCAGCCGCCUCUGCUUUCUUCUUUAGUUCUUUUCUAUGUUAAUUUCUAAAAAGCUUUAUGAUAAUUCUUAGUUUCUUACUCCUUCCUGUCAAAAGAACUACAAGAAUCUUGUGAUCAUUCUUUGUGGAAUAAAAUACAAAGUUGGUAAGUACAAUUUUUUUUUCAAUGAUAACUUUUUUCUUUCUUUUCAAGCAUUUUUUUUCUACAUAUUGUGAUUGGGACUGAUUUUGGUAGUCAUUAGUCAAUUAAGAGAGGAUUGAAAAAAAAAAAUUUAUAAUAUGUAUUGAUUUUUUAUUACUUAAAAUUUUACAAUAUGAUAUGACUGCAAUCUCAUAAGACUCAUAUUUUCACAAUAAAAUUUUUAUGCUGCUUAUUAUAGUUUAGAGUUAAAAUUUUAAUUCCGUUUAGAAAUCUACUUUGAUGGUAAGAGCUGGUCGAAGAGCAUUGUAUAUAUAAAAUUUUAUAUUUUUCGAUUGAAGAGGACUGAAUAUACUAAAUUGUGUAUUUUUUUAUCCAGGUUUUCAAGCACAAAAGCAUUAAAAAGUUAUUUGGGGGUCAACUUAUCAAUUGAAUCAGGUUCUAUUAUUCUAACCUUUUGCUAUUUUUUUAAAUCUAAAUUCUGUCAUUUUUUAUAUUUUUACUUCAUAGAUAUACUGUAGUUUUUAUUAUUUACUAGAGUAUAAAUAUGUCUACUAGAAAAUAUGAUUCCGGUUAUGCAAAACUUCAAAAAAGAAGAAGAAUUGAAACUUUAAUACAAUCCCAAAAAGGAGCACUUGAUAAAUUUUUAUCCAGUAAUAAAAAUUCUAAACUAGAAAAUAUGGGAGAAUAUUCUUUGAAUGAACAAGUUACUAAUCCAGCUGCGUUAGAUGAUAAUAACAUCCAAGAAAAAGAAGAAGCUAGUGAGAAAUCUGACAUAGAUCCUCAAAAUAAUUAAGAACUUUUAAAUGAAUUGAAUACUUGCACUCCUAUAAACAUGGACUAAUGUAGAUACAAAGUUAAAAAGAUCUAUUAGUAGAAAAAGGACCAAUUGAUUUUUUGUUUAGUGGUAAAAAAUUAAAGUCAUUAGAUGAUGAGAAUUUGAAUUUUUUUUGCCUUAAUCUUGAAAUGUCUUUAAGACAUAAUAGUCACUCUGAUAUUGACGGUCUAGACUUAUUUUCUGAAUUAAAAGUAUUGAGGGAAAUAGUACAAGUAGAAGAUAAUACUCUAGUCGACAUACUCAAUCAGAUAAAAAGACUUGAUUCUUUUCCAAAUGCCUAUAUUGCUUAUAGAAUAAUGUUAACAGUUCCUGUAACAGUUGCCUCUGCGGAAAGAAGUUUUUCAAAAUUAAAAUUGAUAAAAUCUUACCUAAGAUCAACUAUAUCUCAAGAGAGAUUAAAUGGAUUAGCCAUUUUAUCAAUUGAAAAAGAAUUGUUAGAGGAAAUAGAUUAUAAAAAGAUUAUUAAUAACUUUGCAAGUCAAAAAGCUAGAAAAAUAGCCGUUAAAUAAAAUAUACAUAAUUUUUUUAGAGGAACUUAAGGCCCCUAAUUACAGUUUGGCUUUAGGCCCCGAACUGUGUUGAGCCGCCUCUGGGCACAACCAUUCUAUCAUGUGUUGAAUUUGGUUGGGGGGUGGGGGGUGGGGGUGUGGGGGGGGGGGGGAGGGAGUAAAUCUAAAGAGGAAUGAUGUUUAGAGUGAAGCUUUUAAAUUUCACAUUUUUAAUGUAUGACGUUAGUUUUUCUGUAUACUUAUAGAUGUUUUUGGUCAACUCCUCGCAAAUGCUUGAAAUUUUUUGUCACUGUAGCUUAUUAUGAUGUUUAUGACACAAAAUAGUGCUGACAUGGAAACUCGUGAUCGGUUGAUAUAUGCAAUAAAUUCUGCAAUUUAUUUGUUUAUUUCAUGCUCAAUGUUAAUACUAAUAAAUUCUGUUAUCUAAUUACUUGAUUGCCAUGAACCAUGAUCUAGCUAAGAAGGGUUUAAACAUGCCUACAUCCUUGUAUUUAAUUAAAUCACAAGCGAACAAAAUACAAGAAGGGUGAACUUUACAAGUAGAGUUAUCAAAAAUAUGAGUUGACUGGAGUCAUUCGGCGGAAUAAUCAAAUUGCAAGUAAAUUGCGUGAAUUUACCAUUACAAAGUUUUGGUAUAUGUUUGACAAUUUUGAUUAUUUUAGCCAAUAUUGGAAAUUCGCGAUUGGUUGAUACACGCAAUAAAUUUUGCUAUUAAUUUAUUUUACUAUCUUUGAAAAUGUAAUUUGAAAACUAAAUAUCUAUUUAAAAGAAUAUUUUUAUAAAUCAUAACAAUUGAGAGUAUAGUCUUCUUUAACCUUAAACACAUGUUAUGUGUCAAAUCCUAUCUUUAAUUAAAACACAAUAGAACAAAAUAAAAGAAGGAUAAACCACGUGGCUAGAGUUACCCGAUCAAUACAUGUAUACUGAUGGAACGUAAUAGAUACUAGUUGGUAGAAUAGUUGAAAUGUGCACGAAAUAUGCACGCAAGUUGCACCAGACAUCAUAGUUACAUCUCCCAAAAAAGUGAAGAGAAAAUGUAAUUAAGGAUCAAAGUGGCAUGAUUUUGAUAAUUAAGAAGCCUAUUGCCUUUAAUCACAUGUUCAAUGCUUAAAUCCUUAUCUUUAAUUAAAAUAUACUACGAAAGAACAAAAUAUAAGAAGGUUAUACCACGUGAUUAGAAUCACGUGACUUGCACCUUGAGAUUCAUGUUGAUCCUGAAGCACAUUGGAUGAAGCUUUGAAAUUUCACAUUCGAGUUCUUUGAUUUUUAAUGUAGGACGUUAGUUUUGUUAUGAUGGUUAACUAAAGUAUGAAACAUUUUCACUUCUAAACAUACAAAUGAUGCUUAUUAUUGUUUAUAGCGAUACUUUAAGGAUGUGAUUUAUCUUUUCCAUACAUAUGUUUUUGGUCAACAACUCGUAAAUGUUUGACAAUUUUUGUCACUCUAGCCACUUAUGAUGUUUAAAACACAAAAUAGUGCUGACAUGGAAACUCGUGAUUGAUUGGCUAAUUCAUCAAUUAAAUGGUUCGUUUCAUGCUUAAAAUUGAUCGUCUAAGCCAAAAGGCCGAGAAAGAUAUCAAUUCCGUUUAGACUAGCUCUCUCCACUCUUUCAAGGAUGUUUCAAGAAAUUUUUUAAAUAUGAUAUAACAUUUAAUGAUUAAGGAUAAGAAAUCUAUUUAAAAGGAUAAUUCACCUUUAUAGAUCGUAUAACAGUUGAGAAUAUACAAUUUUUCAGGUUUAAACAUGCCUAAAUCCUUGUAUUUAAUUAAAUCACAAGAGAAUAAAAUACAAGAAGAGUGAACUUUAUAAGUAGAGUUAUUAAAAAUACCAGUAUCUAUAAGCGUGUGUUGCACGUUAAUAAUGGCACAUGAUGAUGUAAAUAUUUAUUUAUAUGAAGGAAUAGCAAAUUUAAUUAAUGAGAGAAAUUUUAUAUAUAAUACUACAAAAAUAAUCUAAAUACCGAAAAAUAUUGUUAUAUUAGCAUAAUACGUGAAUUCAAAAUGAAAGGAUAUCAUCAAAACUUACAUAAAUGAUCAACUUUAGUCAUAUUAAGUAGAUAAUUAUGUAUUCUAGUUUAAAAUUAUCUAAUGCAAUGGUAUCUUAUCGAAUACUUCUUUAUAGAUGAUGUUUUUUUUUGUAUAUAUUUCCUUCUAAUGCUUUGGUUACUUUGCCAUAACCAGAAUUCUUGUUGUCGAUAUUGAUAUCUCUCUUGAAAGUGGAACAUAUAGUUAUUCGUAUAGGAAAAUAUAUUGUGGUUAAUAUAGUUCAAUAUUUUGGAUGUUUUCCUUGUGCUUUAUUUUUUAUAACUACAAAAUAUAAACAUACCGAAAAUUAUUUUCACACAAAUUUGACAUACAUAUUUUUCUUCAAAAUCAACCUAUAUGAAAUGGAAGAUCAAUUUUAACUUAGUCUAUUAUAUAUAUGGUGACACUAACAUAUGUAAAAAAUAAUGAACUUCACAACAAACAUGUACGGUAGAAGGCCAUUUGGUAUUAAAGUAUUUAAGUAUUCUUCUUAAUAGUUAUUAUUGGUAUCAUCUUCUGCUGAGUCAAAACUGAAAAAUAUUAUGUUUUUAUCAUAAAACUUAGUAAUCAAUUUUUUAUUUAGUUGAUCAACAUAUUCAUUUAUGCUAGCUAAGAUAGCUCUUUAAUUUCUAUCAUGUAAUUUGUACAAAUUGCGUUUUAAUUUAAUGAUAAAAAUAUAUAUUUUUUCCUUAUUAAAUGCACUACUAUUACCAUUGAGGUUGUUAACCAAGUGUUCUAGAAGAACCAAAUCCUUUUUUAUUGGAUGCUCUUAUUCAUUUUCGAUGCGAAGCAAGAAGUCACUGAAUGUGGAUCUCACUACUAGAAAUUCGGUAAUUAGCGACCCAAAAAAGCGACCAACGUUGGUCGGUUUAGGUAAAUUAUCGACCAAAACUCGUCCAAACACGCUUGGUCGCUAUUUUGGUGGUCGUUUUAAUAUACCGACCAAGGUUGGUUGCAAAGGUAAAAGGACCAACUAUGCAAUUUAAAGCACAUACCGACCAACUUUGGUCGGUAAUAAUAUUUUAAUAAUUUAGUUUUACCGACCAAAGUUGGUCGACAUAUUUAAAUUACGUUAUAUUAACUAUUAAAAUUUAAAAAUUAGCGAUCAAAGUUGGUCGGUAAAGUAAAAUAUAUAAUUUCUUAAAAAACAUUAAAAUUUAACCAUACUGACCAAAGUUGGCCGGUAAAGUUGAAAUCUGGGUAAUCCUUAUUAAAAAACGGACCAAUUUUGGUCGGUAAUUUAUAAUUUAUAUAUUUUUUUUAAAACUUAAGCGACCAAGGUUGGUGCUAAUCAACAGAAUUUUUUUUUAAUUAGGAACCGACUAACUUUGGUCGGUUCUCUGGGUUUUAAUUUUGGCAUAAAAUGCUUGUUUUUGGCAGCUACACCACCUGCCAGCAUACCAAAAUCCCUAAACAACAACAACACCACCACCACAAUUCAAUAAAUACAUUAAAACUAACAAAUUAAAGUUCAAUAGAACUAAAAAAUCCAGAACCAAGUUAAAACUUAUUACAACUAGUUCAAAACCGAUUCUAUUUGUCUAGUUCAAAGUAUAUAAAAGUCAAGGAGGGUUUUGUACAACAUCAUCAUCACCUCUGAUGAAGUUUCAUCUAAAAGACGAUUUCGAGAAGGGUCUUGUGGAGGAUGGGAAGAACGACCACGGGGAGGACAGGAGGAACGAUCACGGGGAGGACCGGAGGAAUGAUCACGGGGAGGACGGAAGGACACUCACGUUCAAGUCGAGCCUCUGGCGAUGAUUCACGAGACCGGGGCAACAGAAAAACUCCAGUAGAUAGGAGAGUUUUGAUCUGAGCUUGCAUGCCAAGGAACUGAGCAUCUCUAACCCUUUCUCUUUCCUUGGCCGCUUCUAGCUCGGAUGUGAGCUUUGUCACAGUCUCCCGUAUAGUGGAGAGGCUCUCCCCAUCAAGUUGCUCGCCUUGCGAGGAAGUCCCUAUUCCUUGCAUUCCACACUUAUAGUGAUGGAAUUUCUUAGUAGGAAGCCUGUACCUUCCCUCAUUUUAGACUGCCAGCAGACUCCAUCCAUAUUCUUUCAGCAUCCUCGUCCGAAGGUUGGGUUGGCACGCCCGAUUCAUCGGCUGGCUGAGUGCGGAUGAAUUCCUCCACGUUAAUUUGGUAGUGACCCCAUACAAAAAUUUAAAUUGAAUUAGUAUUUCAAAAGUUAUAUAAAAGUAAAUUAAAAUACUUAAAGAAAAGUGAAAGCUUACAUAUACAGUCGAAGCCCGGUCCUCAACCCACCUUCUUGAUCUGUCUCUUUCUUCUUCUUUACAAUAUAUGUCUCCUUGAAUAGCUCAUCAUGGUUCAUUGGAUGCCCCAACUUCUUUUCCUGAAAAUAAAUUAAUUUAGUUAAUAAACAGAAUAGAUAUAGUUUGAAAAUUAAAAUAAUUUAAGCAAUUACGUACCAAUCUUCUUUUUAUUAUCCCUAGGCUGAUCGCACCUCCAAUGUGGAAGGAGCCUCCCUUCUUAGAUGCGUGAGCUUUUUUUUCCCUUUUUCGCUCUUCUCUAAGAACUUUGCGGUAAGCCAUUGCCUUUGCAAAUCAUCCCAUAAAUUUUGAAGUAGCCGGUUAGGCUUCUUGUUCUUCUUUCUAGUUAAGGAGAAAGUAUGCGACAAUAGCUUGCGAGCUUUGUGAUGGAAAUUUGCAGUCACUUCCGCGCUAUAGCGGCGUUCCCAUACACACUUGCUCUGUAUUUCAAAAGUUAAAUAUUAUAUGAAAAUAUCAUAAAUAUAAAUUAUUAAACACUUAAAAGAACAUUUAUACCUUAAAUUGAUUGAAAAUUUGCUCCUUCAGCGAGAAUGAAAAAUCAGUCCAAGUCGCAUAAGGGCCAUCAUAAAGCUUUCUGAUGGCUUUGGUAAUUAUCCUCGUAGUCUUAUUACUCGGGAUGAACCUGCAAUUUAACAAUAAAAAUACAUUAAUAUCUUAGUAAAAACUUUACAAUACAAUAAACACAAAAAUAACAAAUAACUCUUACCCAUCACCCUCAAGGACUAUGAUGAUCCUGCCAUAACGAUCAUAAUGCACCUCCUCGUCUUCAUCAGCAUCAUCGUCUGAAGCAUGUAUAUUAGAGGCAUGUGUGGACGGUGUAGGGGGUUAGAGCUACUACCUCGCAGGCGAAGGCCUAAAAUAGAUGGAGUCGAUGAUGAAGAUGGUUGUGAUCCCUGUGACUGCGACAUAGCUGGAUGGACCCCAAGUGGCUGUGAUACUGAUGGCUGUGACCUGAGUGGCUGUGAUCCAUGUGGCUAUGACAUGGAUGGAUGCGAUCCAUGCGAUGUAGAUGGUUGCGAUCCACGUGGUUGUGAGGCAGUUGGACUGUAUGUCGAACGUAUAGUCCUAUGGCCCUGUGAUGAAAGACCUGGUGUCUGCACGAAGGUGUUGGGCUCGUGAUGCUGUGGCAACUCAGUAUAGCCGUCGGGUGGAGGAUAAGACAUAGGCAUAGGCAUAGGUAUCUCUGAAGAGGGUGGAGCAGAUGGAGUAUUAUUUUCUACCCUCCUCUUUCCCUUUCUAUCCUUUUCUCGACCCCGAGAACUAGUAGGUUCAUUAUUACCUUGACCCUUGCCUGCCAUCUGCAUAAUAUAAUACAUAUUUAGAUUGAAACAUAUAAGAAACUAGCUAUAAAACGAGAGUUAUUUAAAAAACCAACUUUUUAAAGCUCAUCGACGUAUUGUUCCUCGUCCGAGAAUUCUUUGUCCUUACUUGUUUGAGCUUCAUCAGUUGAUUUUUCAUCCUCAUUUUCUAUAAUUCUUACUUCAUUUAUAUCAACUUCUUCCAAUAUGUGUUCAGGAUGUUCCAAAUCAUUUUCUAGCUGAUCGUCCACUAUUUGGUGAACACUGGAGAUAUCGUUUUGAUAUGCAACAUCUAACACAUUCUCGACUUCCACCCUACCUACAUGCUUAGUUUUUAUUACAACCCACCAAUCAGACUUAUUCCGCCGUAAUGUAUAAGGAGCAUAAUACACUUUCCUAACAGUAUGUGCAAUUAUGUGUCACGCCCCAAAAACCGAGGAGCGCGACCAGCGCUCAACCGAGUAAACCCGACUGAGCAAGCCUGCUAGGUUUCAUUCUACCCCAAACUAAUUCAUAAAUAAUGAGGAGAUGGACUCCAUUAAUCAUACAAUGUAAAUAUUUAAUUAACAACUUCCAUUUUAUUUCCAUUAGCAGUUUCAACCAUAAUGUCCAAAAUAUUACAAUUUUUAUAGUUAUGAUGAUGAAAAAAUAUAUUUGCCAAAUACCAAUAUUUCUAAUUCAAUUCCCCAUUAUCAAACUCCACCCAUAACCUGUCUACGAAGCCUCUAAAUACAACUGAAGAGCAAUAUGGAAAUGCCAGCAACAAGGCUCCGGCUAUACCUCGAAAUACAAAGUACAAGAUAAACAAUGGUACAGGACCCCGAAAUAAAGUGGGGCUCACCAAGUCAGCUGAAAGGAAGAUGUGUCACUAGCUGCGACCAACACUGCCUGCUAUGGAACCACCUACUUCCAUUUAAAGAUAUAGCGCCCCCGGGAAAAGGGACGUUAGUGCCGUCGAAUAGCACUAGUAUGUAUAACUAAACACCGUCUUAUUAGAAAGAACAACCAUACAAGAACAAAGAAAUCAUAAGGAUUUAACAAAAGCUUUAAACAAUUACCACAUCAUUAAAUAAAAGGAAUCACAUAGCUUUGACAUAAUUUCCAUAGCUUUGAGUUGGGGCAUUUCAUACUGUUGCAUCAUCAUUCACAAUACCACCGCUUUCUUGUGCGGAGUCCGAUCACGACCCGAUCAGCUAGGUUGCCUCAUUUGAGACAUGUACCACUGUCACAAUUCCAUUCUCACUUUUCGGUUUCAAUAUCAGUAUAAUACCACCAUGUGUGUAGCAUGGCGUCCGAUCACGGCCCGAUCGGCUAGGCCAUCUUACCAAGACAUUGUCCCUUUUUCCAUCAAUCAUCUCAUUUUAAUUUUUAUUUCACAUAUAUCAGUUCGUCGGCACUUGGGGCCACAAUGUUCACAUCAUAUUUGGCACUAAGCCACAUUUCAUAACUCACAUUCCACAUCACUUUCACUUUCAACAUUAAACUUGCAAGUUAAGAUAAUGGGCACAUACAAGAGCAAUUCAAGUUAUAAGCAUAGAGAGAGAUUCACAUGAUUUGGCAUAAUAAUCACAAUUUAAACUUGACUUGAAAUCUAGGCAAUUUAGCUAUAGUCCAUAUUCUUCACAUAUCACCAAUUUACCAAGAAUAGCAUAAUAAACAUAUCGAGACACACUUUUCACAUAUAUUUUUGCAACACUAAUUCCUUUGAAAUAACAAAUAGUACAUCAAUCAAAUUCCGGAUUUACAAUUUUACAUGGACACCAUGGGAGCUCAAUUUCUAAGAAGGGGAGUUUUAUCCAUACAUACCUUGUUCAAGCUUUGCUUAAGUUUCUACAAUCCACCGACACCUCUAGCAAUAACAAUCUACAAGGAGAUAGCAGGAAUCAAUUAAUAAUUAGGAAGAUUACCCAUGUUGUAACUCUCUUAAGAAUUUCAUCAAACACCUAACAUGUGAAGUAGUCUACAAGGUCUGAAAAUGGAAAUUCCUUCUUGCCUCAACCAAUUUUAACAGGAACUACCCAAAUUAGUUCUUUUAAUAUCACAUACUACAACUUAGUCCCACAUGCAUGACCUAUUUCUAAUCCCAACAACAUAUUUGAACCAUUACCUCUUGCAUGAAAUCUUGGAAGAAGGACUUACCCGGAUGGAGGAUAAUCAAGUGGUUAUCUUCCUUGAUUCUUGAAAACUUUUUGGGUGAUUAUGAAGCUAGUCUCCUUCUUUCUCUCUCUAUAUGCUCUCAACUCUCUCUAAAAUCAGUAGAAAAAUGAACCCAAAUGAAGCCCCUAAGCCUAUUUAUCAAAAUGGGGUCGGGUUAUAAAAAUAGGAAAAAUUAGCCUCUGAAAUCGGGUUUGCGGUCGCAUAAUGGACCGCAAAACAGGAAUGUGGGUCGCAAAAUGAAUCGCGGAACUGGUGACCAGAAAUGGGCUACAUUGGACAUGUUUGCGAUGAUUUUGCGGUCGCAUUACCACUUAUGCGAUCGCAGAAUUGGCUGCAGAAUGGGAUUUAGCUUUUGGUAAUUUGGUCAUAACUUUGUGUAGGAGUGUCUAAAUGACAAACGGUUUGAAGCGUUGGAAACUAGACUCAAAGACUUUUCAUAUGAUUGGUUGUUCAUCACAUAAAACCUUUUAUAUAUAUAUAUAUAUAUAUAUGAUCGUUCAAAGUGUGGACUUGUGCAAACUCAUUUGGAAUUUUAGCCUAUUAUAAAAUUUUCCAAUUUGACUUAGAAUUAGGCCUCCCAUUAGACCCCACAUUACUUAUUAUAUGACUUAUACACUUAUUUACCAAAUCCAAUUGAUGUCCAUCAUGUUAAUAGCACAUAAAAUAUUGUAAUUAGCCUACCUGGCACCUCAAAAUCCUAAAUUACUUAGAAAAAUUUUCCGGGCCUUACAUUCUCCCCCCCUUAGGAUCAUUCGUCCUCGAAUGAGGAGUAGAGUCCACCCUAAAUGUUUAACACAAUAUAUCUCUUUUCUAACCUACCUCAGGUCCCUAAAUUUUAACUAACUCCCAAAUUUUUUUAGAAAUUUCGGCAGCAUCUCCUUUGUAACUAAGCCUAUCCACCUGCCAGAGAACCACUAAAACCAUUCUAACAACAUAUCCACAACUUGACAAAGCGACACAACGUAUAUAUCUAUAACACUAAUCUCAGCAUUACAAACACUACAUUAUCAUAUGGAUCCCUGGACAUGAACUGCACAUUUCUAAAUCAUAAUACCUAUAAGGUACCUUUCAAAUCAAAACCAAUUGUUACACAAUCAGGCAAAAAUAUAUUCUUUUCCAUGACACUUUCGGCCUUCAAGGUGGUCUCCUCGACUUACAAACUUUGCCAUAACACAUUCACAGAAAUAAUCCCAGCCCCCAAACUUAUCUAACUAGGAUGACAGCUAGUUACCUCGCAUAAGCUAACUAUCCAUUAACUUCAACUUCAACAAUUUCCACUGGGAUGACACACAAAAGAUCUCCAACUACCUUCUUAGACAUAGACAUAUGAAAACAUGAAAUACGUGAGAAACAUCUACGGGGAAACAUCAUACUCCUAGUGGAGCCUAAUGGGAAAUGUGCUUAUGUACCUUUCAUUAUCAAUUCACAUAACAUCUUCAGGGGAAAAUAUUGAGAAUAACCUGUGCACCCUCCUAAAUUCUAAAUCUCUACGCGAACACCCAAACUAAACCUGUGGUGACCUUCAACGAUUACUUCAAGAUGUGCUAUCAUAAAUUGACCAUAAAAUUACCUAUUGAAUAUAUGUGAUCACAGGGUGACUUUGACAUGUUUGAACCUUCAAUACUAAAUAGAUCUAAUACAAUGAGGAUCUACGAAGUUCAAGAUCGGGCUGAAAUUAUUCAGGAAUCCAUUAAGUCACUGAGCAGAGUACUUCCUGAGGUUAUAUGCUAAGGGACAUGAAAAUUACUACUAACAAUGCUGACAGGGUUAAUCAUUGUGAUGACAUUAAUUAUUAGACAAAUAAGGCAUGUGUAUGACGAACCGGCCGGUCAUCUUAAGAAUUUACACCCCGGUCAUCUUAAUUAUUAGACAGGGUCAUCUUAAUUAAUUGCUUUCCCCAAGAUUAUUAUGAUAUUUUGAUUUGCCAGGAUGUUCGGUUUUGAGUUUCGGAGAGUUUUGGGACACUUAGUCCCUAAAUGAGAGCUUAAGUGUUGGAAAGUUGACCAUAGUCGGAACAGUGUGAAGACAGCCUCAGAAUGGAAAUUCGAUGGUUCCGUUAGCUCCGUUGGGUGAUUUCGGGCUUAGGGGCAUGUUCGGAUUGUGUUUUGGAGGUCCGUAGCUAAUUUAGGCUUGAAAUGCCGAAAGUCGAAUUUUGAAGUUUUCGGUUCGAUAGUGAGAUUUUGAUCCGAGGGUUGGAAUGAAUUUCUGGAAUUUGUAGUAGCUCCGUAGUGUUAAAUGUGAUGUGUGUGCAAAAUUUCAGGUCAUUCGGAUGAAGUUUGAUAGACUUUUUGAUCGAAAGUGUAUUUUUAGAGUUUUGGAGUUCUUAGGCUUGAAUCCAUGGUUGAUUCAUCGUUUUGAUGUUGUUUUAGGUAUUUUAAGGAUUGGUAUAAGUUUGGACGCUGGUUUUAGACUUGUUGUUGCCUUUGGUUGAGGUCCCGGGGGCCUCGGGAUGAUUUCAGAUGGUUGACGGAAGAAAUUUGGAGUUUGGAGUUGCAGCUUCAGCUGCUGGUUUUCUGUCAUAACUGCACCUGCGAGUGUAGGACCGCAAGUGUGGAGAUGUAGAAGCGGCUCAGCGGUCGCAGAAGCGGAAUUAGAGAGGUCCAGCAGGAGCCGCAGGUGCGAGAAGGGAAUCGCACCUGCGUGACCGCAGGUGCGGAGGGUCUACCGCAGAAGCGGAAACUGGUCUUAAGUGAAAGUUCGCAGGUGCGACCAUUGGUCCACAAAAGCAUGACCGCAAAUGCGGUCCCUUGACCGCAAAUGCGGUAAUAGCUGAGCAGAAAUAUGAAAUUUCGAGGGUUUGGUUUCAAAAGUUGGGAAUUCAAUUUGGAGCUCGGGAGAGGGCGAUUUUGAGAGGAAAUUGAAGAGGAGAUCAGUGGGUAACAAUUCUUUAACCCUUUCUAUUUAUAUUCCAUCAACCUAUAGUUAGUUUCAUCAUUUAAUUUCGGAUUGGAGAUGAAAAUUGGGGAAAAGUUGGACAAAUGUUCGUAGACCUAAAAUUCGACUUUUGAUUGGAAAUUUGACCUUAGAUUUGGAUAAUUUUGGUAUGCAUGAACUCGUGAGAGUGUGAGAAUUCUGAAAAUAUAAAUUUUACUCGAUUCCGAGACGUGGGUCUGAGGGGCAUUUUGGUUAUUUUUUCUAAUUUCGCAUAUUAGCUUAGAAUUUCUUUGUAGAAUCAGUUGCUUGAAGUGUUAUUUACAUUAUGCAAAUGAUUUGAAUAGAAUUGGGCCAUUUGGAGUCGAGUACUCGUGGCAAUAAUGUGGUUUUAGGUUGAUUAUUGAGCCGGUUCGAGGCAAGUGGCUUGCCUAACCUUGUAUGGGGGCCUUCCCCUUAGGAUUUGGUAUUAUUGUUAAUUGAAAUGCCUUGUACGUGAGGUGACGAGUGCGUACUUGUGCUAAUUGUUGAAAAUCCAAUUUUCAUUAAAGAAAUUACUAGUUUGUUUCCUUUCCUGUUUUUAUUUCGUGUACUAUUAAGCCUGUUGUUAGCUUAGGAAAGCAUGUCUAAGUGAUUUAAUUGUUUUAUUUGCUCAAACUGCUUUACCUGAAUUCUGUGCAGCAUGCUAGGCUAUGAAUACUUGUUUGCCUUAAUAUGAAAUUAACAUUUGCUGAAUAUUUUCCUGUUGUUGUUGUGUAUUUAUAUUGGGACUACGGAUGUGGGAUUCCGGUAGAUCCCCCUUGUUUGUUUAUUUGGGGCUACGGAUGUGGGGUUCCGGUAGAUCCCUCUUGUUUGUUUAAUUGGGACUACGAAUGUGGGAUUCCAGUAGAUCCCCCUGCACAGUUAUAUAAAACUACAGGACUGCACCCGGUAGAUUCCCCCAGUACUGGGUAUUUAUAUUUGGGACUACGGAUUGGGAUUCCGGUAGAUCUACGCGCAUUGAUAGUUGGACUACGGGACGGGAUCCCGGGAGAUCUUUCGGAUAUAUAUGAUGGACUACGAGAUGGUAUCCCGGGAGAUCCACUGGAUAGAUGUAAUUAGGACUACAGGACGGUAUCCUGGAAGGUACCCCGAUUGUUAUCUCUGUGUUGAGUUGUAUUUCCUUUCCAUGAUUAUUUUGUCUCUGUUCUAAUUGUUGUUGUUUUUCUUACUGUUGCACUUGUUUAUAUUAUUUUAUUUCACACUGUUAACCUUUAUAUUUUAUUUAACCUCAGUAGGGCUCUGACCUUCCUCAUCACUACCCAACCGAGGUUAGGCUUAGCACUUACUGAGUAGCGCUGUGGUGUACUCAUGCUCUUUCUGUGCAUGUUUUUCAUGUGCAGAUCCAGGUACUUUCGCUCUGUCUUAUCAUCCUUGAGGCGAGGCGCUUCUGUAGAGACUUCGAGGUAUAUCUACUGCGUCUGCAGACUAAGGAGUCCCUUUCUAUCUUUCUGUAAUAGUAUAGCCCUUCAGUAUUCCCCUUUUGUUAGACAUUUUUGGAGUUAGAGCUUCUUAUGUAUCUCUUAGCUUGUGAUUCAUGGGUUUCCGGGUUUUGGGAAAGUGUAUUGGUUUUAAGAGUUAAUAUUGUGUAUGCCGAUCAACACUUUUAAACGCUGUUUUUAUUACUCUAUUUCUGUUUUAAAUUGUUUUCUUUCGCA
This 13815-nucleotide long non-coding RNA is filed under the name Nicotiana tabacum (common tobacco). Its description in RNAcentral is "long non-coding RNA (NTAB_LNC013223)". Lineage: Eukaryota; Viridiplantae; Streptophyta; Magnoliopsida; Solanales; Solanaceae. The record is from RNAcentral.